CUCAUUAAAUCAGUUAUCGUUUAUUUGAUAGUACCUUACUACUUGGAUAACCGUGGUAAUUCUAGAGCUAAUACAUGCUAAAAACCCCGACUUCGGAAGGGGUGUAUUUAUUAGAUAAAAAACCAAUGCCCUUCGGGGCUCCUUGGUGAUUCAUGAUAACUUAACGAAUCGCAUGGCCUUGCGCCGGCGAUGGUUCAUUCAAAUUUCUGCCCUAUCAACUUUCGAUGGUAGGAUAGUGGCCUACCAUGGUAUCAACGGGUAACGGGGAAUUAGGGUUCUAUUCCGGAGAGGGAGCCUGAGAAACGGCUACCACAUCCAAGGAAGGCAGCAGGCGCGCAAAUUACCCAAUCCCGACACGGGGAGGUAGUGACAAUAAAUACUGAUACAGGGCUCUUUUGGGUCUUGUAAUUGGAAUGAGUACAAUUUAAAUACCUUAACGAGGAACAAUUGGAGGGCAAGUCUGGUGCCAGCAGCCGCGGUAAUUCCAGCUCCAAUAGCGUAUAUUAAAGUUGUUGCAGUUAAAAAGCUCGUAGUUGAACCUUGGGCCUGGCUGGCCGGUCCGCCUCACCGCGUGUACUGGUCCGGCCGGGCCUUUCCUUCUGGGGAUCCCCAUGCCCUUCACUGGGUGUGGUGGGGAACCAGGACUUUUACUUUGAAAAAAUUAGAGUGUUCAAAGCAGGCCUUUGCUCGAAUACAUUAGCAUGGAAUAAUAGAAUAGGACGUGCGGUCCUAUUUUGUUGGUUUCUAGGACCGCCGUAAUGAUUAAUAGGGAUAGUCGGGGGCAUCAGUAUUCAAUUGUCAGAGGUGAAAUUCUUGGAUUUAUUGAAGACUAACUACUGCGAAAGCAUUUGCCAAGGAUGUUUUCAUUAAUCAGUGAACGAAAGUUAGGGGAUCGAAGACGAUCAGAUACCGUCGUAGUCUUAACCGUAAACUAUGCCGACUAGGGAUCGGGCGAUGUUAUUAUUUUGACUCGCUCGGCACCUUACGAGAAAUCAAGUCU
Molecule: ribosomal RNA, 1000 nt
Filed under: Kellermania yuccigena
Lineage: Eukaryota; Fungi; Ascomycota; Dothideomycetes; Botryosphaeriales; Planistromellaceae
Also listed under: 1 other name
Description: SSU rRNA
Rfam family: Eukaryotic small subunit ribosomal RNA
Source: RNAcentral